GUCCGAGUGGUUAAAGGAGACGGACUGUAAAUCCGUUGGCUAUGCCUACGCUGGUUCGAAUCCAGCC
RNAcentral lists this transfer RNA (67 nucleotides) under Roseitalea sp. Its description in RNAcentral is "tRNA-Tyr". It matches the Rfam family "tRNA", at positions 9 to 64 of the family's 71-position model. Rfam says of the family: Transfer RNA (tRNA) molecules are approximately 80 nucleotides in length. The record is from RNAcentral. Lineage: Bacteria; Pseudomonadati; Pseudomonadota; Alphaproteobacteria; Hyphomicrobiales; Ahrensiaceae.